This 77-nucleotide transfer RNA is filed under the name Actinomycetes bacterium. RNAcentral describes it as "Actinobacteria bacterium tRNA-Glu". It matches the Rfam family "tRNA". Rfam says of the family: Transfer RNA (tRNA) molecules are approximately 80 nucleotides in length. Their secondary structure includes four short double-helical elements and three loops (D, anti-codon, and T loops). Lineage: Bacteria; Bacillati; Actinomycetota; Actinomycetes. The record is from RNAcentral.
GCCCCCAUGGUCUAGUGGCCUAGGACGCCUGCCUUUCACGCAGGAGAUCGCCGGUUCGAAUCCGGCUGGGGGUACUA